CUCAGCAAUUUAAACUUAGGAACUUUGGACUUAGUGCGCAGGCUUAGUAGGCUAAUCAAUACAAACUUCUCUGCCCUGAGCUGCAUAAAGCUGGAGUUAGUUACACAUCUGAUUCAUGAUACGAAGGGGAGUCACAUACAAGGGGGAACACAUGGUCUUGCUGAGUGAAUCUGGACUCCUACCAGCUUUGUAUCGUAGGUGUACUUGCUGAGGUGGACACUAUCCCCUCAUCAAGGUCAUCAAUGAAGAUACUGAACAAGACCAGACCCAGCACUGACCCCUACGGAGUACUGCUAGUCACAGGUUUCCAAUUGACUCUGUGCCACCGAUCACCAUCCUCUGAGCUUUGCCAGUCAGCCAGUUCUCAACCCACCUCACCAUCUACUCAUCUAUCCCACACAUUCUCAGCUUCAUUAUCAGGAUGUCGUGGGAAACAGUAUCAAAAACCUUAUUUCAUCAAAAAUCUCUGAUGAAUACCUUGAGAACUCACUGAGAAUUGAACCAGACAGUGAUGAAUUAGUUUCACAAAAAACUCAGAUAUUGUAUUAGUUUUAUGUUUUUGUUGCUCUUUUUUAAGUUUUAAUUAAAAAUGCAUAUAAAAAUAAGUUUUGUAACUCAUAUGAAUUAACUCCAUUAUGUAUUUUAUAUGCAACUCAAGACAGUUUCUCUCAGUGCAUCUCAGACAAGCCAAAGUUGGACACACAUGAGUUAAUGGAAAUAGGUUGCUUGGAAAGGGGAUCAGUUUGUUUCAGGACCCAUCAGUACAGAUCCCUUGAUAACCUGUAGGGUGGGUCUGGGUCUAGAGGAGAUACAUUUUCUAGUUGACACCAGAGCCUCCCAAUCCUUGUUAAAAUUUCUUCCCAGAAAGUGUGAUGGAGAUGACUCUCAGGUAUACCUUAAGUAAUUCACAGGGUCACUGGGAGGGAUGAAAAGGUACACAUCCUUCAACCACUGUUAAUAGAUGUGGGAGAUAAAUUUGAGAUGCAUGAGUUUUUGUAUGUACCAAAUUGCAACUGUUAUCUACUGAGAAGGGAUUUAAGGGCUAAAUUGGGAAUGCAAAUAAAUAUAACCAAGGGAAAAACUGAAUCUCAUACUGUAGUAACCCUGCAUAAAUUAUUGGAAAAAGCCUGGGCAGAAGUUUACCCUAGGGUUUGGGCUACACCCAGAAAUUUUGAGAGUUUGGAAACUGAACCCCUCCAAAUUACACUGAAACAACAAAGACAAAUAGAUUCCAGGAAACAACAGCCUACCUCACAGGAAGGAAGGAAGUCAGCAAAAGGGAGUCGACAUAAGGGAGGGAGAGAGAGAGAGAGGAAGAGGGAUGAUUUAAGUACAAAGGAUGCCUUUGAGGCAAGCGCUAAGACUUAAUGGCAGUGACAGAUUUGGAAGAAGCAUACAGGGAAGACCCAAAUAAGAUAGCUCAGGUGAAGAAUUGUAGGUGUCAGGUAACAAAACAAAACAAAAAAAAAAAAAAAAAAAAGGUAGAUUGAAGGGAAGGGAACAAAGGGAACAAAAAUGCUGUAAUUUUGGUAGUUGUAUUAGCUCAAGCACAAACCUUAUUUGAGGAAGAGUCUUCAUGUUUUCCCCAAGAAUGAGAAGGAGAAAAUGCAGAGGAAUGAGGAAGUUAAAACUCUUACUUUAAACAGAGGCAAUGUACUGCAUGUUAAACACUUGAAACAACCAGUGAACAAAUUUUCUGUCAGCAAUUAGUGCCACAGGAAAACAAAAGGUUGGACCCUUCUUUCAAACAAUUAAGAUUAAG
Gallus gallus (chicken) is the source of this 1762-nucleotide long non-coding RNA. The record is from Ensembl. Lineage: Eukaryota; Metazoa; Chordata; Aves; Galliformes; Phasianidae.